GUGACAGCCGCCGCGGUAAUACGGGGGGGGCAAGCGUUGUCCGGAAUUAUUGGGCGUAAAGGGCGCGUAGGUGGAAUGAUAAGUUGAGGGUGAAAGCCCGGAGCUUAACUCCGGGUCUGCCUUCAAGACUGUCAUUCUUGAGUAUGGAAGAGGGAAGUGGAAUUCCCGGUGUAGCGGUGAAAUGCGUAGAUAUCGGGAAGAACACCGGUAGCGGAGGCGGCUUCCUGGUCCAUUACUGACACUGAGGCGCGAAAGUGUGGGGAGCAAACAGGAUUAGAAACCCUCGUAGUCC
This 292-nucleotide ribosomal RNA is filed under the name uncultured bacterium. RNAcentral describes it as "partial 16S ribosomal RNA". It matches the Rfam family "Bacterial small subunit ribosomal RNA", at positions 505 to 796 of the family's 1533-position model. The record is from RNAcentral.